GACGUAGGUGGCGAACGUUAUCCGGAAUCAUUGGGCGUAAAGGGUGCGUAGAUGGCAUAGUAAGUUAUUGGUGGAAAAUCGAGGCUCAACCUCGUGGAAGCUAGUAAUACUGUUAUGCUAGAGUGCAGGAGAGGUUAACGGAACUCCAUGUGGAGCGGUAAAAUGUGUAGAGAUCCGGAGGAAUACCAGUGGCGCAAGCGGCGCUCUGGGUCGAGCCUGACACUGAGACGCGAAGGCAUGGGGAGCGAACGGG
This 253-nucleotide ribosomal RNA is filed under the name uncultured bacterium. RNAcentral describes it as "partial 16S ribosomal RNA". It matches the Rfam family "Bacterial small subunit ribosomal RNA", at positions 524 to 776 of the family's 1533-position model. The record is from RNAcentral.